This 11581-nucleotide long non-coding RNA is filed under the name Solanum tuberosum (potato). Its description in RNAcentral is "long non-coding RNA (STUB_LNC008216)". Lineage: Eukaryota; Viridiplantae; Streptophyta; Magnoliopsida; Solanales; Solanaceae. The record is from RNAcentral.
GGGUGUACAACAAUAAGGAAGAGAUCAACAUUCCGUCCAGUCAAGAAGAGGAAAUACUCGGAGAUGAGUUAUUGAAUGAUGAUUCCAACAGUCCUGCAACACAAACUAAAAAUCAAUUAUGUCCAUAUGAGAGUGUCAAGAUGACGGAUAAUGGGAUUCACAUUAAUGAUCAUAAGUCAAAUAAUGAUUUAGAUAUUGUGCCUUUCCCUACUCCUAUUCAGACAGAAGACAUUACAAUGGCAAUACCUCAAUCUCCUAAUGAGGUUCUUCAUAAUAUUCUCACCUAUAAAGAAUCAGAAAUCGGACACCUCCAAUUAUGUGACACAAAUGUUCAAGUAGAGGACCUUUCACCUAGAAGUAUUAAAUCAAUAAAGUUUGCAAAGAAGAAUAAAAAACAAGGUAAUGAAGAAUCUAUUCAACCCAUCAGAUCUCAGCCGAAGAGGCAGGUGACACAUAAAAAAUAAUGUUAUCAAUGAAGGCCCUUAUAUGGAAUAUUAGGUAAAAUGCAUUCCAAAGAGUCUUGAUGUUACAUAAUUUUCACAAGUUCAGUUUUGUUGCUCUGAUGGAACUGUUUCAGCAUGUGGGAGGCUUGAACAGAUAUAAUAGAAGAUUGAAAGUGGCAAAGGGGUAUUCCAAUAGUAGUGGUAAAAUUUGGUUAUUUGUGAAUCAUGGAUUUGAUGUAACAGAAGUGAGAAAUUUUGAGCAACAACUUUCUGUAUUGCUUAGAAAUCAAAAUUCUAAAUCAACAUGUGUUACUAUUAUUUAUGAAAAAUGUGACCUCUAUCAGAGAAUGCAACUAUGGGAAGAUAUUUCCCAAGUAGCUGAUGGUCUGCAAUAUUCAUGGAUAAUAGGAGGGGACUUCAAUGUGUUUCUUAAUGAGGAAGAAAAAAUUGGUGGUCGACCAGUGACAGGGAAUGAGGUUGAAGAUUUUUAAAAUUGUAUUGAAUCUAAUGAGCUAUAUCUUGUUCAAUUUAAAGGCACUCCAUUUACUUGGUGGAAUGGUAGGGCUCGAUGUGAUUGCAUCUUUGAGAGAUUAGAUAGAAUUUUUGUUAAUAAUAUGUUGCAAGACCAAUCCAAUUUCUCAGAAGUGGAACAUCUUUCUAGAACUAGAUCGGAUCAUGCUCCUCUUUUAUUCUCAUGUGAAAAUAGAUAUUCCAGAUUCAUCAAACCUUUUAGGUUCCUGAAUUUUUGGACUAAGCAUAGGGGUUUCAAGGAUGUGAUUAAAUAGAUUUGGGAUGAUGAGUAUUCAACCAACUAUUUUCUGGAUUUCAAGAGGAAGAUUAAGAAAGUAAAGGCUGCUCUUUCUUUAUGGAAUAAGGAAACUUUUGGAGACAUAUUCAAACAACUCAUCAUCAGAGAGGAAAUAGCAAGAAUCAAGGAAAAGCACUUUGAGGAAUUUCCCUAUGCUGAAAAUAUAGUUAUUAUGCAAAGGGCAAAGGAUGAAUAUACUAGAUAUUUGCAUCUAAAGAAGAAAUUUUGGCAACAAAAGGCAGGGUAUGAUUGGUUUGACAGGGGUGAUAAAAACAUAAGAUUCUUUCAUAGCUUGGUGAAAAGGAGAAGACAAAGAAUGAAGGUAACAAGAACUCAAAAUGCACAAGGACAAUGGUUGGAAGAUGAAAAUACAAUGGCUCAGGAGGCAAUAACACACUUUCAAAACCAAUUUCAUCAGGACAGAGAUGCCACUAAUAUCACCUUGCUGGACCACAUACCAUAAUUAAUCUCUGAGGAUGAAAACACUGAGUUGGGGAUUGUUCCAAAUGAAGAAGAAGUGAAAAAUGUUGUUUUUAAUCUUAAUGAGGACAAUUCUAGUGGUACAUAUGGACUUACAUGUAGAUUCUACCAAGUUUGUUGGGACAAUGAUAUUUGUAGAAUGGUGUGUGAGUUUUAUGUGGGCAGCUCCUUACCUAGGUUCAUUACUCAUACUAAUUUGAUUCUCAUUCCCAAAAAGGAUAUCAUUCAGUCCUUUUCAGAUAUGAGACCUAUUAGUCUAACAAAAAGGAUAUCAUUCAGUCCUUUUCAGAUAUGAGACCUAUUAGUCUAACAAAAAGGAUAUCAUUCAGUCCUUUUCAGAUAUGAGACCUAUUAGUCUAACAAAAAGGAUAUCAUUCAGUCCUUUUCAGAUAUGAGACCUAUUAGUCUAACAAAAAGGAUAUCAUUCAGUCCUUUUCAGAUAUGAGACCUAUUAGUCUAACAAAAAGGAUAUCAUUCAGUCCUUUUCAGAUAUGAGACCUAUUAGUCUAACAAAAAGGAUAUCAUUCAGUCCUUUUCAGAUAUGAGACCUAUUAGUCUAACAAAAAGGAUAUCAUUCAGUCCUUUUCAGAUAUGAGACCUAUUAGUCUAACAAAAAGGAUAUCAUUCAGUCCUUUUCAGAUAUGAGACCUAUUAGUCUAACAAAAAGGAUAUCAUUCAGUCCUUUUCAGAUAUGAGACCUAUUAGUCUAACAAAAAGGAUAUCAUUCAGUCCUUUUCAGAUAUGAGACCUAUUAGUCUAACAAAAAGGAUAUCAUUCAGUCCUUUUCAGAUAUGAGACCUAUUAGUCUAACAAAAAGGAUAUCAUUCAGUCCUUUUCAGAUAUGAGACCUAUUAGUCUAACAAAAAGGAUAUCAUUCAGUCCUUUUCAGAUAUGAGACCUAUUAGUCUAACAAAAAGGAUAUCAUUCAGUCCUUUUCAGAUAUGAGACCUAUUAGUCUAACAAAAAGGAUAUCAUUCAGUCCUUUUCAGAUAUGAGACCUAUUAGUCUAACAAAAAGGAUAUCAUUCAGUCCUUUUCAGAUAUGAGACCUAUUAGUCUAACAAAAAGGAUAUCAUUCAGUCCUUUUCAGAUAUGAGACCUAUUAGUCUAAGUAAUUUCAUUAACAAGAUCCUGUCCAGAAUUACGCAUGAUAGAUUGGAAAAGAUUCUCCCAAAACUGAUUUCUACUAACCAAUCUGGAUUUGUUAAGGGCAAAAGUAUCAUUAAGAAUGUUCUAUUGGCUCAGGAUCUUGCCACCGAUAUUACUAAGAAGGGAAAGCCUGAGAAUGUGAUUAGAAAGCUGGCUAAGGCCUAUGAUAGGGUUUCUUGGUCCUUUCUUAUGAAAGUACUAAGGAAAAUGGGAUUUUGUAAUAGAGUGGUAGAUUUGAUUUGGAGAUUACUAGCAAAUAAUUACUACUUUGUGCUUCUUAAUGGUCAAUCAUAUAGGUUUUUUCAUUCAACUAGAGGAGUUAAACAAAGGGAUCCUUUAUCUCCAACAUUAUUCAUCUUUUCAGGAGAGGUCCUACAUUAUUCAUCAUUUUAGCAGAGGUCCUUUCUAAAGCUCUCAAUACUCUAUUUGAAGACCCCCAUUUUGUUUGUUAUGGAAUGCCUAAAUGGAGUGCUAAUCUCAAUCAUCUAGCUUUUGUUGAUGAUACCAUUAUUUUUACCUCUUCAAACAUAUAUUCUAUGGAAAAAUUAUGUCUAUUUUGAAGGAUUAUGAGAAGCAAUCAGGUCAAAAGAUCAAUAAGGAAAAUAUUUCUUAUUAUGUACACCAAAAUAUAUCAGCAACCUCUGCUAAUCAAGUGGAACAGAUUACAAGGAAGGUAAGAGGACAAUUCCCUAUGAUAUAUCUAGGAUACCCUAUUACACAUUCUAGAAAAAGAAAGGAGCACUAUGCAGAAUUAUUUAAUAAGAUUAAAGGUAGAUUGCAAAGUUGGAAAGGGAGAAUGCUUUCAUAUGGGGUUAAGGAAGUCCUUCUUACUAGCAUUCUUCAAAGAAUCCCUAUCUAUGUUCUUUCUUCUAUUACCCCCCCCCCCCCCCCCCCCCCCAAACUCCUCCCACACAAAUGUUAGUGUAUCGGUGUGGUACCCAUUCAAAUUGUUAGUGUAUUGAUAUGAUUCAUAGAAUAUUUGCUAAAUUCUAUUGGAGUAAUAAGGAAGAUAGCAGAAAUAAACACUGGUCUAAAUGGGUGAAUAUGUGUCUUUCUAAACAUGAGGGGGAUUUAGGAUUUAGGUCGAUGUUUGAUGUAUGAAAGGCUAUGUAUGCAAAGUUAUGGUGGAAUUUAAGAACUCAAGGUACUUUGUGGUCCAAUUCUAUGUGGACAAAGUAUUGUAAGAAACAAAUUUAUACCUUUGUUCAAUGGAAAGAAGGUUCCCAAAUCUGGAAACAUAUACUUGAGAAUAGGGAAAUGCUAGAGCAACAUAUGUGGUGGGAACCUAGAGGAGGUACUUCUACUGUUUGGUAUGAUAAUUGGUCUAACGUGGGACCCUUGUACCUACAUGCAGUUGAGGAGCAAACUUGUCACCCCAUGAAAAACGUUGAUGAAUUUCUAACUGAGGAUGGGUGGGACUAUACAACAAUGAGAGAUUUUGUCCCUGAGUAUGUUGUAGACAGAAAGUUAAAGCUAAGAUUUGUACAUGCUGUGAUUUAUAAACAUCUACAAGUACCAGUCAAAACAGAGUCAUAUUCAUUGGCAACCUCGACAAAAUAAAGUUAGUAAUCCUUUUUAUAGAUCUAAACCCAAGUGGUGGUAUCAAUUUCAUUUGUGGGAUUCAACUCACCGAGAUUAAAUCUAAGAAGAUGAGAAACUAUGCUUACCUCAGGUUUAGUAUGCAACAAGCAUUAUUGUGGUGGUCAAUUUGAGAUCAAAGCAAGUGUCAUUAAGCGGAUUACUCCGUGGGAAUCGCCUCUGUGUGGUUGUGAGCAAGAGAUAAUCGACUAUGUACGGAUGUGAUCAAGUGUUAAUCGAGAUCGACUGGUUACACCAUGGAUAGUCUUCUUCUAGCUACUAGAAAGAGCUUCCGUGCUCUUCAUUUUCCACGUUUCCUGUUCCUCUUUCCCUUUCCAUUUUCUUUCUUAUUUUGUUUGUUUCCCUUUCUGCAUUUUCUGAACAACUGUUAGGGUUUAGCACUUUUGGCUAAGCUCUCUUUUGUACUUAAGUCCUUUUAAUUUAAUACAUGUGGCCCCUUGGGUCUUGGUUUCAAAAAAAAAAAAUGCACUUCAGAAAAUAGAGAGAAGGUGUAACGAAGAUGAGACAAGUCUCAAAACUUUUAAAUAAACAACAUACAAUCUCAUUUGCUGCACCACAUCCGUUUGAUGGUCACCUCACACCAUUGAUUAGCUUCAAAUGUAGCUGUCAUAAAAAAUGAUAGUCACCCCAAAACAAAAAAUUGUGUUCAAAAUAUUUGAUGUAAAGGCCAUUUUCACAAGUAUAUCUAUCUAAAGUGGCUAACCUAGAUUUCGACAACACACCGCAAACCUAAAUACACUUUUACCUUGAUUCACUGGUGGCCAUGGCCACCACUUCCGGCCAGCCUCCUCCGGAGACUGGUCAAACCCUAGCAGAUCCAGGGCUUACAAGAAACUAUGCCGCAAUUUUACGUCCAAGCUUAGUGGAUACUAAACCAGUAAAAAUGAGACCAAUUUCAUAUCUUCACGGGGAACCAAGAAUUGUAUGGGAUGAGGAGGAAGUCACACAAAUGAUUUUACAAGGAAAAUUUACAAUAUGCUGUGAUUGGGAAGUUCUCUUAUGGAAUGCCAGAAAUCAAGGAAUUACGGAAGAUAAUCCCAAAACAAUGUGAGCUAAAAGGAGAAUGUAAUAUUGGAUUAUUGAGUACUCGACAUGUUUUGAACAGAGCUGAGAUUAUGGAGGAUUAUGUCAAAUUGCUUUCCAAGCCAGCUUUUUAUUUGACACAACGACAAUGGUCGUAUCCCAUGAGGACACUCAAAUGGGAUCCUAUGUUCGACCCGGAGGAGGAAACGACAACAACCAUAGGCAUGGAUAUACUUUCCAGGACUUCCACUAAAUUUUUUUGUGAAGGAAACGAUUUUCUCUCUCGCUGCAGCAGUUGGUAAGCCAUUACAUGUGGACAUAGCGACCAAAAAUCAGGCAAGACCUAGCUGUGCCAAGGUCAAAGUGGAGGUGGACCUCCUGGGAGAAUUCCCAAAACGAAUCAAUAUUGGGGUUAGGAAAUAGUCUGGUGAGGUGGUGGAAAAGUGGAUCAGAAUAAAAUACGAUUAUGUUCCUAAAUACUGUGUGACUUGCAGGCUACAAGGACACAACGAACAAAAAUGUUAUGCGCUACACCUGGAAUUAUAUCCAAAGAAGAAUGAAGCUAGUAUGGAGAAUGAGUUGGAGAAGCAAGAAAAUAAAGGUCACAAGGAGAUGGGACAGACAAUAACAGAGGGGGGCAAAGCUAAGGCAGGAGAGAAAGGGGAAACAAAACAAGCUAGGGAACAAUUUCAGGAACAAAGAAAUAGAAGGAAUCACACAAUUCUGAGAUAUAAUGAGCACAGAGCCAGUACACAAGUUUGGAAUCCUAAGCCAAAACUUAUGGAGAAGGAAAAAGAAGGGUGGAAGUUGAAUAAUUAGUUUGAGGCACUAAAGGAUCCAGAUCAGAUUGAGGAGACCAUAAAGGAGACAUCUAACACAAAAGUGGAAGUGUCAACAAGGAAGUGGGUGGAGGAUAACUUCACAAGCCAUGAAGCUUUGGGGAAAAGUUCAAUUGAUCAUGGACAAAGGAUAGAUGAUAAAACACAAAAUAAGCAAGGAGAGGACACAGUAUUUUUGAACAGAAAUGAAGGUAAAGAAAUUACGAUAUGGGACCCUGAGAAGGAGAGGAAUAAAGAGUCAACACCAAACCCUUUAUUCAUAGUUGAGUCAAAAUCGGGAGAUAAAAGUAUUCCAGAUAUUCAUGAGUUGACGCCAACUCAGAGGCAAAGCUAUCAGGAGGAAAGAGAAGAUGACGAUAUGGAGAUGAACAUACAGAGUGCCAGCAAGGCAGGAGACUUAUCACCUCGACAGAUGGAGGAGCUGAAAAGUGGUUCUAAGAAGAAUAUGAUUAUGCAUACUAUAAUACCACUUCAGGUAAAGACAAGGAGGAGUAAGGAGAAAGGGAAUAUCAUUACCUAAUGAUAGGACAAUUAUUAUUUUGGAACAUCAGAUCUGUUAAUUCUCAAAAAUCAUUUGAGAGAUUAAUAGAAAUAAAUAAGAGACAUCAUUUUUCAUUCAUUGCUCUUCUGGAACCUUUUCAAGAUCCAGAUGAGAUAGAGGUUUAUAAGAGGGGAUUGGGUUUUGAUAAUGCAAUGGAGAAUUCUUCAUCGAAGAUCUGGAUUUUUUGGAGGGAGUAGUGGACAGGUCAUGUCACAAGGGAUACUUAUCAACAAAUAACUUUGAAAUUUCUUUUUCACAAUAAACCAUUCUCUAUUACCUCGGUGUACGCAAGAUGUACUGAGACAGACAGAAUAGAGUUGUGGGAAGAAAUGAAGGAGCUCUCAGGUGAAAGUAGUGACCCAUGGAUAGUGGGGGUGAUUUUAAUGUUAUACUAAAUGCAAAGGAGAAGCUAGGAGGUCUCCCUUUUACUCAUUCAGAAGCUGCUGACUUUGGACAUUGUGUUAACAAUAGUGCGCUUGUGGAAUUACCAACCACAGGAAGCAAAUUUACAUGGUAGAAUGGGAGGAUAGAAGAGGGAUGUAUCUUCAAAAGGUUAGAUAGGAUUAUGGUCAACUAUGAGUUCCUGGAUAUACUGCUGAGUAGUAGUGUUCAACACCUAAUUAGACAGGGUUCAGAUCAUGCUCCCUUACUGAUGGUGUGUAGUUCUGAAGAAACAAAUGUGGUCAAACCUUUUAAAUUUCUAAAUUUCUGGACUAAACAUCCGCAAUUUUUGGAGAUAGUGAGGAAAGCAUGGUGCAUUGAUUUUGUUGGGAAUCCAUUCUUAGUAUUUAAGGCCAAAAUGAAGAAAGUAAAGGCAACAUUAGGGGAGUGGAACAAAAAAGUUUAUGGGAAAUUUUUUGAGAAAGUGGCUACACUUGAAGAUAUGAUUAGGGUUAAGGAGAUUCAGCUCAAAAUUAGCUCAACACAUGCUAAUAGGAGUGAUCUUAGUAAAGCUGAAGCGGAGCUAAAAAAAUAUGUCAACAUUUUAGAGGAAUUUUGGAGGCAAAAGGCAGGUAUGAGAUGGUUCAAGGAUGGGGAUAGGAAUACAAAAUUCUAUCAUACAUAUGUCAAAGGGAGAAGGAAAAAGCUGCAUAUAAGAGAGAUUCAAUCCAAUCAUGGAGAUGUUUUCAAGACUAAUGACCAAAUAUGAGAGGCAGUUGUUGAUUUCUUUGGGGACCAGUUUCGAGAAGCAGAUGUGAUGAAUAAUUUAGAGAUGAUCGAUAAUAUACCUUGUGUGAUCUCGGCAGAGCAGAAUGAUAAGAUGGAAGAACUACCAAGCUUGGAGGAGAUUAAAACGGUGGUUUACAAGCUGAAUGGGGAUAGCACCAGUGGGCCAGAUGGAUUUUCAGGAGCUUUUUUCCAAGUGUGUUGGGAAAUUAUUAAUGAGGAAAUUUCUAAAAUGGUCAGGGCAUUUUUUUGUGGACAGACGUUGUCCAGGUUCAUUACUCAUACAAAUCUAAUCCUGAUUUCGAAAAAAGAAAAUGUCCAUAAUUUUACUGAUUUAAGGCCAAUAAAUUUGAGUACUUUUAUCAAUAAAAUCAUCUCAAGAUUGAUACAUGAAAGAAUUGCUAAUAUCCUACCAGCACUCAUCUCCCCAAACCAAUCUGGUUUUAUUCGAGGAAGAAGCAUAACAGAAAACGUGCUCCUCGCACAAGAAAUAAUAAGAGAUAUCAAUAUGAGAAAUAAGUGGCAAAAUGUAGUGGUGAAGUUGGAUAUGGCUAAAACAUAUGAUAGGGUCUCUUGGAUAUUCCUUACGAAGGUAUUAAGGAAGUUUAGAUUUUCGGAGAGAAUGAUUGACAUGAUUUGGAGAUUAAUAUCAAAUAUUUGGUACUCAGUAUUGGUAAAUGGGCAGUCUUAUGGGUUCUUUCAGUCAUCUAGGGGCUUAAAGCAAGGAGAUCUCUUAUCACCUACUUUGUUUAUCAUAGCUGCAGAGGUAUUGGCCCGUGGACUGAAUAAAUUACAUGAAGAUGGUGAGUUUAGGGGUUAUGGCAUGCCGAAAUGGUUUCCAAACAUAAAUCACUUGUCAUAUGCGGAUGAUACCAUUUUGUUUUGCUCAGGGGAUAAGAAAUAUGUGAAAAAGAUGAUGAAGGUCCUAGCAGAUUAUGAACAAGUGUCAAGACAGAUGAUUAACAAGAACAAAUGUUUUUUCUACCUUCAUGAGAAGGCUCCUAUUAUAUCAAGACAGAGACUAAGAAGAUGGACGGGGAUACAACAAGGUCAUUUUCCAUUCACAUACCUAGGAUGUCCAAUGUUCUAUGGGAGAAAGAAGGUAUCACAUUUUGAAUGCAUCCUAGGUAAAAUCAACAAAAGAGUGAUGUGCUAGCAGAACAAGUUCUUAUCUUAUGGGGGAAGACAAAUGCUUAUUGCUCACGUACUACAAUCUAUGCAUGUUUACUUACUAUCAGCAAUGAACCCUCCUAAAGGUAUCAUAAAUAAGAUUCAUCAAAUCUUUGCAAAGGUUUUUUGGGGGAAAAUAGGAGGUUUGAAGGGUAAACAUUGGGUGGCUUGGGACGACCUGUGUUACCCACAUAAGGAAGGUAGAGUAGGAUUUAGAUCUCUUCAUGAUGUUGCUAAGGCUUUGUUUGCUAAGUUGUGGUGGAAUUUUAGAGUGGCUACCAACUCAUUGUGGGGAACUUAUAUGUGGAACAAGUAUUGCAAAAAAGAUCAUCCAAUCAUGGCCAAAGGGGAGUGGAGCAUCACAUAUUUGGAAAAUGCUGAUUCAAAUUAGGGAAGAGGUGAAACAGGAAAUUUGGUGGAAAAUAAGAGCAGGAAAAUGUAGCUUUUGGUAUGACAACUGGACACAACAAAGAGCUUUAUACUUUAUAGAGGACGGAGGCAUAGAAAGAUCAAACUUGGAGGUAAAAGAUUUUAUUGAUAUUAAUGGCUGGAAUAAAGAGAAACUUCAGAGUUUUAUCUCUGAAGACAUGACUAACUUCAUCAUUGAGAGUAUCAAACCAGAGAUUGGUUAUGAAGCAGACUGCCCUAUAUGGAUGAGCAAUACCAAUGGGGACUUCACAGUCCAAUCAGCAUUAAAGAUGUUGAGGGAAAGGAAAGAGGAAAAAUAAUGGUUGUGGAAUGUGUAGAUAAAGGGUUUACCCCUUAAAAUCAGUUUCUUCCUUUGAAGGGUGUUGAGAAAGAGAAUCUCCACAGAUGAUAAUCUGAAGAUAAUGAGGAUACAAAUUGCCUCGAGAUGUCAUUGCUGUGAAGAUUACGAACAAGAAUCGAUGGAACAUGUUUUUCUAACAUCUCCCAUAGCCCAAAAGUUAUGGAAGAAAUUUGCUUUCUGUUCAGGUUUUGAACUAGAUGGAGUGCAUUUACAACAACUUAUAAACUCAUGGUGGAAGGUCAAGAGUACUACCAAAAUACAAAAGAUCUUCAAGAUAGUACCUGCGACUCUUAUGUGGGAAUUAUGGAAGCGGAGAAAUGCUACGAGAUAUGAAAGAGAGGUGAGUUUUUUCAAACUGGUUCAACAGUGUCAAAACACAAUAAACCAGUUCAUAAAACAAACCUACCCUUGGAUUCAAUUUCCAUGGGAGGAAAUGGUUAUUUUUUUCACACAUUACAAACCUAAACUAUUUCAUAAAAGUGUGACCUGGAAGAUGCCAGAAGCAAGCUGGUUUAAGUGCAACACAGAUGGAUCAUCAAGAGGUAAUCCAGGAGUCAACACUUAUGCUUUUUGUAUAAAAGAUGAAAGGGGAGACUUGGUCUUUGCAGAAUCUCAAGAGAUAAGAACUACCACAAAUAAUAUGGCGGAGGCGACAACAGUUCAAAGAGAACUUAAUUUCUGUAUAAAAAACAAGCUCAAGAGGGUCAUAAUUGAAACAGAUUCACUAGGUAUCAAGAAAAUGAUACUUAGAGAAUGGAAAAUACCUUGGGAGAUGCUAGAAAUAAUGGACGAUGUAACACAAAUGGUGGAACAAAACAGCUUCAAAGUUCAGCAUGUAUAUAAAGUAGGUAAUCAAUUAGCAGACGCCAUUGCUAAUAGUGCACACAGUAUGUUGCAGAUACAUGAAUACUGACAAUUUGAGUAACUACCAGCAAAGUGCAGAAGGAUUCUAAACAUGGAUAAAGCACAAAUCACAAAUUUGAGAAUCAAGACAAGAAAGAUAACAGAUAUAAGCAGCCAACAUGGAUGACAGAUACAUUAAUCAAGAAGUGAAUAGUUUUGCCAGUUUUUAUAGUUACAUUACAAUUUUGUGCCACUACCAGGGAGUUAAAUUGGUGAGAAAAAAAGAGGUACCUAGUCUUGGAUAUGAGUUUACAAAGAGUUCCACCAGCAAAAGUUGAGGACCACACAUUCAGAAUCGAUUCCAAUACGCACCUUCUAGUGUCAAAGAGAACAUAUUUGAAUCUAUAGCUAUCGACGCGGUGAGAUUUAGAUAUCAAGGCAGAAAUAGGGAAGAAAACAUACUUGAGACAUGGAAGUCGAAGCACUGGAUUAAGUUCCUCUUAGACUCCAGAUGGAACUUUGAAUGGAUACAUACACCUACAAAAAAGGGAAAGAUUAGAUGCUUAAAGGAGGAGGAAGAUAAACAGGAGCAGUACCUUUUGAAGCGGUUGAAGAAGAGUAGUAUCACACACCCAUGGUUGAAUACUGCUCCAAAGAAGGCAUCAGAGAAACGGAAAAUUCACGAAAGGAAGAAGUAAGAAGGAGGAGCAGCUAGAAACAUGAAAAAAGAGAUUUUGGAAACAAAAUUUAG